Molecule: long non-coding RNA, 434 nt
Filed under: Homo sapiens (human)
Lineage: Eukaryota; Metazoa; Chordata; Mammalia; Primates; Hominidae
Description: HSALNT0162543
Source: RNAcentral
GUUUAUUUUAUUAAUAUGAUCUCAGGCAACUAAUAUUUGAUAAUUCCCAUUAAUAUGUGUAUUUUGUCCCUUUUGUGUGUUGGUAUGGGCAGUUGUGUACAUUGAUUUGUCUAGUAUAAAAUGUGUAUUACAUGAUUGUUCAGCCUAUAUUAUGUAUAGUUCAAAGAACUGCUAAACUGAUUUUACUGUUACUUGGAAAAGUUUGCAGGGGUGUAGUGAAGAGUGAGUUUUGACUUACUUUGCACACUAUUAAGGUGGGGAAGGAAUCAUGUUAUUGUACAAAAAUGAAGGCAAUCUUUCCCUUCUUUAAACCUUAGUCCUGAUGUUUUUUUAAGACAACAUUUGGAUUGAAGUUUUAGAAUUUGGUUUGUUCUUGUGCAAUUGCUUUCGUUCUGUGGCAGUUAGAGGACCCUUCGCUGGCACUGUGAGAAAAG